This 611-nucleotide ribosomal RNA is filed under the name uncultured bacterium. RNAcentral describes it as "bacterial SSU rRNA". It matches the Rfam family "Bacterial small subunit ribosomal RNA", at positions 338 to 1335 of the family's 1533-position model. The record is from RNAcentral.
CCUACGGGAGGCAGCAGUGAGGAAUAUUGGACAAUGGGCGCAAGCCUGAUCCAGCCAUGCCGCGUGCAGGGAGAAGCAUCUAUGGUGUGUAAACUGCUUUUGUACAGGAAGAAACACUCCCUCGUGAGGGAGCUUGACGGUACUGUAAGAAUAAGGAUCGGCUAACUCCGUGCCAGCAGCCGCGGUAAUACGGAGGAUCCAAGCGUUAUCCGGAAUCAUUGGGUUUAAAGGGUCCGUAGGCGGUUUGGUAAGUCAGUGGUGAAAGCCCAUCGCUCAACGGUGGAACGGCCAUUGAUACUGCUAGACUUGAAUUAUUGUGAAGUAACUAGAAUAUGUAGUGUAGCGGUGAAAUGCUUAGAGAUUACAUGGAAUACCAAUUGCGAAGGCAGGUUACUAACAAUAUAUUGACGCUGAUGGACGAAAGCGUGGGGAGCGAACAGGAUUAGAUACCCUGGUAGUCCACGCCGUAAACGAUGGAUACUAGCUGUUGGGAGUAAUCUCAGUGGCUAAGCGAAAGUGAUAAGUAUCCCACCUGGGGAGUACGUUCGCAAGAAUGAAACUCAAAGAUAGUACGACGNGAGAGAGCGACGACGACGACGAGGAGGGAGGAG